AGUGUAGUGUUCGUACAUCAUACACUCGUACAUCAAGGUACCACUGUAUUAUUGUUAAAUUAAUAUUUAAACCCAGCAGCCGGAGCUAGUGUUUAUUUCUAUAUGACAGCAUUUAAGUACGUAGAUAUAAAAUAGUUUGCGUUUGUAUUUCGAUUAAAGCGGACCUGUGCGUGAUUUUAUUGAAAUGAAAGUACAUCUUUUACUGGCUUUCCUGAUUGGGACCUGUUAUGCUGACAAUGGCGUAUGCAACAUGUCAAACGGUUCAAUAGGGAAAUGUGUCGAACCAGGACAAUGUAAGGCACCUGAUCUUGGUAACUUGAAUGUUUACAGGACAAUACAAAUGGUGUGCCAAACGGGAGAAGAAUGCUGUGAUUUUAUAGAUGUAAUUCAAUCUUCUAAUUCACCCAUUACCGUUAAUAAUUAUAUAAGAACUUCAAAUACUAAUAUGAAUAUAAAUUAUAAUUAUUUCAAUUAUAAUAAUAAUUUUCAAGAAUAUUAUAAAUAGUUAAUUUUUGGUCAGUAAUUAAGUUUUAAGUUCAAUAAGAUAAAUACGAACCUGCUGUAGCGACAUAUACAAUCUGUGGUUAUAAACUUAUUCCGAUUAAAGAUAUCUGCAACUUGAUAGAAUAUAUUGUCAUUAAAUCCAUUGAAGCUGUCGAGCCAAGACUAGUCGAUGAUGCAUUCGUCCACCUUAUAGAACUGGAACUGCAGCACCUUUUUUCCUCUAUAUUUGUUUUUGUUAAAACUGUUUAAUUUCUUUAGGCAUUUAUCACUUUUCGUAGCAAAAUAUUUUAAGUUAAAUUUUCAAAUUGAACUGAAAUAGUUUAAGAAAACUGUGAAUGAGCUUAUUAUGUGUGAAAAUUUUGUAAAAUGAAGUUAUCAAAAUAGUGUUAUUUAAUUUAUUCCUAAAUGAUUACAAUAGUGUGAGGAAAUAAAUUAAUUCAACAAUUA
Long non-coding RNA from Pieris brassicae (large cabbage white), 951 nucleotides. RefSeq lists it as uncharacterized. The record is from RefSeq and is a predicted model, not a curated record. Lineage: Eukaryota; Metazoa; Arthropoda; Insecta; Lepidoptera; Pieridae. The transcript has 4 exons.